Molecule: ribosomal RNA, 408 nt
Filed under: uncultured bacterium
Lineage: Bacteria
Description: partial 16S ribosomal RNA
Rfam family: Bacterial small subunit ribosomal RNA
Source: RNAcentral
GACGAACGCUGGCGGCGUGCUUAACACAUGCAAGUCGAACGGAGUGUCGAACGGGUGAGUAACACGUGGGUGACCUGCCCUGCACUUCGGGAUAAGCCUGGGAAACUGGGUCUAAUACCGGAUAGUGUGGGAUGGGACCGCGGCCUAUCAGCGUGUUGGUGGGGUAAUGGCCUACCAAGGCGGCGACGGGUAGCCGGCCUGAGAGGGUGGACGUCCACAUUGGGACUGAGAGACGGCCCAGACUCCAACGGUCGGCAGCAGUGGGGAAUAUUGCACAAUGGGCGGCAGUCUGAUGCAGCGACGCCGCGUGGGGGAUGACGUCCUUCGGGUUGUAAACUCCUUUCACCUUCUACGCGGUAGAUGGAGAAGAAGCACCGGCUAACUACGUGCCAGCAGCCGCGGUAAUUC